RNAcentral lists this ribosomal RNA (474 nucleotides) under uncultured organism. Its description in RNAcentral is "partial 16S ribosomal RNA". It matches the Rfam family "Bacterial small subunit ribosomal RNA", at positions 333 to 798 of the family's 1533-position model. The record is from RNAcentral.
ACACUCCUGCGGGAGGCAGCAGUGGGGAAUUUUGGACAAUGGGCGAAAGCCUGAUCCAGCAAUGCCGCGUGGGUGAAGAAGGCCUUCGGGUUGUAAAGCUCUUUUGUCAGGGAAGAAACGGUGAAAGCUAAUAUCUUUUGCUAAUGACGGUACCUGAAGAAUAAGCACCGGCUAACUACGUGCCAGCAGCCGCGGUAAUACGUAGGGUGCAAGCGUUAAUCGGAAUUACUGGGCGUAAAGCGUGCGCAGGCGGUUUUGUAAGUCUGAUGUGAAAUCCCCGGGCUCAACCUGGGAAUUGCAUUGGAGACUGCAAGGCUAGAAUCUGGCAGAGGGGGGUAGAAUUCCACGUGUAGCAGUGAAAUGCGUAGAUAUGUGGAGGAACACCGAUGGCGAAGGCAGCCCCCUGGGUCAAGAUUGACGCUCAUGCACGAAAGCGUGGGGAGCAAACAGGAUUAGAUACCCCGGUAGUCCCAU